GUGGGGAAUCUUCCGCAAUGGACGAAAGUCUGACGGAGCAACGCCGCGUGAGUGAAGAAGGUUUUCGGAUCGUAAAGCUCUUUCGUUAGGGACGAACGUGCUCUUUGUAAAUAAUGAGGAGUAAUGACGGUACCUAAAUAAGAAGCCACGGCUAACUACGUGCCAGCAGCCGCGGUAAUACGUAGGUGGCAAGCGUUGUCCGGAAUUAUUGGGCGUAAAGCGCGCGCAGGCGGGAUAUCAAGUCUGUCUUAAAAGUGCGAGGCUCAACCUCGUGAGGGGACAGAAACUGGUAUUCUUGAGUGUCGGAGAGGAAAGUGGAAUUCCAAGUGUAGCGGUGAAAUGCGUAGAGAUUUGGAAGAACACCAGUGGCGAAGGCGACUUUCUGGACGAUGUCUGACGCUGAGGCGCGAAAGCUAGGGGAGCGAACGGGAUUAGAAACCCCAGUAGUCC
Molecule: ribosomal RNA, 450 nt
Filed under: uncultured bacterium
Lineage: Bacteria
Description: partial 16S ribosomal RNA
Rfam family: Bacterial small subunit ribosomal RNA
Source: RNAcentral